This 90-nucleotide non-coding RNA is filed under the name uncultured Lawsonibacter sp. RNAcentral's name for it is "Glycine riboswitch". It matches the Rfam family "Glycine riboswitch aptamer", at positions 9 to 86 of the family's 94-position model. Rfam says of the family: This family represents the bacterial glycine riboswitch. Glycine riboswitches usually consist of two metabolite-binding aptamers domains with similar structures in tandem. The aptamers cooperatively bind glycine to regulate the expression of downstream genes. Lineage: Bacteria; Bacillati; Bacillota; Clostridia; Eubacteriales; Oscillospiraceae. The record is from RNAcentral.
GUGACUCUGGAGAAGCUCGCCCCACGAUACGAGUGCCGAAGGUGCAAUGCGGCAAAGCCGCGAAUCUCUCAGGCAAAAGGACAGAGGAAA